Molecule: ribosomal RNA, 450 nt
Filed under: uncultured bacterium
Lineage: Bacteria
Description: partial 16S ribosomal RNA
Rfam family: Bacterial small subunit ribosomal RNA
Source: RNAcentral
GUGGGGAAUUUUGGACAAUGGGCGCAAGCCUGAUCCAGCCAUUCCGCGUGCAGGAUGAAGGCCUUCGGGUUGUAAACUGCUUUUGUACGGAACGAAAAGGUUCUCUCUAAUACAGGGGGCUGAUGACGGUACCGUAAGAAUAAGUACCGGCUAACUACGUGCCAGCAGCCGCGGUAAUACGUAGGGUGCAAGCGUUAAUCGGAAUUACUGGGCGUAAAGCGUGCGCAGGCGGUGAUGUAAGACAGAUGUGAAAUCCCCGGGCUCAACCUGGGAACUGCAUUUGUGACUGCAUUGCUGGAGUGCGGCAGAGGGGGAUGGAAUUCCGCGUGUAGCAGUGAAAUGCGUAGAUAUGCGGAGGAACACCGAUGGCGAAGGCAAUCCCCUGGGCCUGCACUGACGCUCAUGCACGAAAGCGUGGGGAGCAAACAGGAUUAGAUACCCGUGUAGUCC